GGUUGUGGCUCAGUGGUAGAACACUUACCUUGAAUAUGUGAGGCACUGGGUUCAAUUCUCAGCACCA
This 67-nucleotide transfer RNA is filed under the name Marmota monax (woodchuck). RNAcentral's name for it is "tRNA.Ser". Lineage: Eukaryota; Metazoa; Chordata; Mammalia; Rodentia; Sciuridae. The record is from RNAcentral.